Molecule: non-coding RNA, 23 nt
Filed under: Arabidopsis thaliana (thale cress)
Lineage: Eukaryota; Viridiplantae; Streptophyta; Magnoliopsida; Brassicales; Brassicaceae
Source: RNAcentral
GAAAGGAGUCCAUGGCCAGUCUC